This 375-nucleotide unclassified non-coding RNA is filed under the name soil metagenome. Its description in RNAcentral is "partial contains 5.8S ribosomal RNA, internal transcribed spacer 2, and large subunit ribosomal RNA". The stretch from base 1 to 120 matches the Rfam family "5.8S ribosomal RNA", at positions 35 to 154 of the family's 154-position model. The record is from RNAcentral.
GAUGAAGAACGUAGCGAAAUGCGAUAAGUAAUGUGAAUUGCAGAAUUCAGUGAAUCAUCGAAUCUUUGAACGCACAUUGCGCCCGCCAGUAUUCUGGCGGGCAUGCCUGUUCGAGCGUCAUUUCAACCCUCAAGACCCCUUCGGGGGACUUGGUGUUGGGGACCGGCACAGGGGCCUGCCUGCUUGUCUUGCAGCGCCCUCGCCGCCCCCGAAAUGAAUUGGCGGCCUCGUCGCGGCCUCCCCUGCGUAGUAGCACAACCUCGCAACGGGAACGUGACGGCGGCCACUGCCGUAAAACAACCCCAAUUUUAUUAGAGUUGACCUCGAAUCAGGUAGGAAUACCCGCUGAACUUAAGCAUAUCAAUAAGCGGAGGA